UACGGGGGGGGGCAAGCGUUGUUCGGAAUUACUGGGCGUAAAGGGCUCGUAGGCGGCCAACUAAGUCGGAUGUGAAAUCCCCAGGCUUAACCUGGGAACUGCAUCCGAUACUGGAUGGCUUGAAUCCGGGAGAGGGAUGCAGAAUUCCAGGUGUAGCGGUGAAAUGCGUAGAUAUCUGGAGGAAUACCGGUGGCGAAGGCGGUUAGCUGGGCAGUUGCUGACACUGAGGCGCGACAGCGUGGGGAGCAAACAGG
This 254-nucleotide ribosomal RNA is filed under the name uncultured bacterium. RNAcentral's name for it is "partial 16S ribosomal RNA". It matches the Rfam family "Bacterial small subunit ribosomal RNA", at positions 524 to 776 of the family's 1533-position model. The record is from RNAcentral.